AUGAACGCUGGCGGCGUGCUUAACGCAUGCAAGUCGAACGAUUAAAGCUCACUUCAGUGAGUAUAUAGAGUGGCGAACGGGUGAGUAACACGUGGGAAACCUGCCCCUUUCUUCGGGAUAACUCUGGGAAACCGUUGCUAAUACCGGAUACUCCGGGAUGGUCGCAUGGCCGACCCGGGAAAGCUUUAUGUGGAAAGGGAUGGUCCCGCGGCCCAUUAGCUUGUUGGUGGGGUAAUGGCCUACCAAGGCGAUGAUGGGUAGCCG
This 264-nucleotide ribosomal RNA is filed under the name uncultured bacterium. RNAcentral's name for it is "partial 16S ribosomal RNA". It matches the Rfam family "Bacterial small subunit ribosomal RNA", at positions 29 to 289 of the family's 1533-position model. The record is from RNAcentral.